AGAUAAUGGCAGAGAACCGCUGCCUAAAACAAAGCUUUUGGAAUCACUAAAAACCUCAUACGUUCCUCUUUGUCGUUGUUCUUCUUUUUUUGUCUGAGAAAUCUGUCUGAGAAAUCGAUGUUGGUAGAUUAAGCUGUGGGAGUAUCCAAAUCGUUCUGUUUGGAAAAAAGAAUUGUUUGUGUCGGUGGGAAGGAUUUCGCCACAUUUACUUGAAGGAGUCCCGGAUGUGCUUGCAAAGGAACUGUUUCUGGCAUCUGGUGAAGGUUCUGGCCUCGCUAAUGUUAACCCAUUGAUAAGAUCAGUGCAAGAGCUGAGAGGUACAGACAUGCGAAAUCUGCAGAGACGAGGUCGAAUUGACCGUUAAUGGAGAACCAUUCGUGGUGUGUAACGAAUGUGCCCUCCCUGUUUGUAGACCUUGCUAUAAGUACGAAAGAAGAGAAGGCAAUCAAGCUUGUCCUUAGUGCAAGACCCAUUACAAAAGGCUUAAAGGAAGUCCAAGGGUUGAGAAUGAUGAAGAGGAAGAUGACACUGAUGAUAUAGACAAUGAGUUUGAUUACAUGAACAAUGGUGGGAUUGGAUUUGAUCAGGUAUGUUUUUGAAUUCUAAAGUAUUUAAUUGUAUAUAUGGUAUACUGAGUUUUGUGUAAUUGUAUAUAUGGUAUAUUGAGUUAUGUAUAUAUGCUAUA
Brassica oleracea var. oleracea is the source of this 685-nucleotide long non-coding RNA. RefSeq lists it as uncharacterized. NCBI's taxonomy places the organism in Eukaryota, Viridiplantae, Streptophyta, Magnoliopsida, Brassicales, Brassicaceae. The transcript is spliced from 3 exons. The record is from RefSeq and is a predicted model, not a curated record.